This 253-nucleotide ribosomal RNA is filed under the name uncultured bacterium. RNAcentral describes it as "partial 16S ribosomal RNA". It matches the Rfam family "Bacterial small subunit ribosomal RNA", at positions 524 to 776 of the family's 1533-position model. The record is from RNAcentral.
UACAUAGGUCUCAAGCGUUGUUCGGAUUCAUUGGGCGUAAAGGGUGCGUAGGUGGCGCCGUAAGUCAGGUGUGAAAUUUCGGAGCUUAACUCCGAAACUGCAUUUGAUACUGCGGUGCUUGAGGACUGGAGAGGAGACUGGAAUUUACGGUGUAGCAGUGAAAUGCGUAGAGAUCGUAAGGAAGACCAGUGGCGAAGGCGGGUCUCUGGACAGUUCCUGACACUGAGGCACGAAGGCCAGGGGAGCAAACGGG